Molecule: transfer RNA, 71 nt
Filed under: Zanda latirostris (slender-billed black-cockatoo)
Lineage: Eukaryota; Metazoa; Chordata; Aves; Psittaciformes; Cacatuidae
Also listed under: 1 other name
Description: Calyptorhynchus latirostris (slender-billed black-cockatoo) tRNA-Trp
Rfam family: tRNA
About the family: Transfer RNA (tRNA) molecules are approximately 80 nucleotides in length. Their secondary structure includes four short double-helical elements and three loops (D, anti-codon, and T loops).
Source: RNAcentral
AGAAACUUAGGAUAAUAUCAAACCAAAGGCCUUCAAAGCCUUAAACAAGAGUUNAACCCUCUUAGUUUCUG